This 440-nucleotide ribosomal RNA is filed under the name uncultured bacterium. RNAcentral's name for it is "partial 16S ribosomal RNA". It matches the Rfam family "Bacterial small subunit ribosomal RNA", at positions 338 to 795 of the family's 1533-position model. The record is from RNAcentral.
CCUACGGGUGGCAGCAGUGGGGGAUAUUGCACAAUGGGGGGAACCCUGAUGCAGCGACGCCGCGUGGGUGAAGAAGCGCCUCGGCGCGUAAAGCCCUGUCAGUAGGGACGAAAAUGACGGUACCUGAAGACGAAGCCCCGGCUAACUACGUGCCAGCAGCCGCGGUAAUACGUAGGGGGCAAGCGUUAUCCGGAUUUACUGGGUGUAAAGGGGGCGCAGACGGCGAUGCAAGCCAGGAGUGAAAGCCCGGGGACCAACCCCCGGACUGCGCUUGGAACUGCGUGGCUGGAGUGCAGGAGGGGCAGGCGGAAUUCCUGGUGUAGCGGUGAAAUGCGUAGAUAGCAGGAGGAACACCGGUGGCGAAGGCGGCCUGCUGGACUGCAACUGACGUUGAGGCCCGAAAGCGUGGGGAGCAAACAGGAUUAGAUACCCCAGUAGUC